Molecule: long non-coding RNA, 3966 nt
Organism: Nomia melanderi (Alkali bee)
Lineage: Eukaryota; Metazoa; Arthropoda; Insecta; Hymenoptera; Halictidae
Source: RefSeq, a predicted model, not a curated record
GUGCUAAGAAAGUUCGACAGUGAAAGAGACGUUUAAAAUAGCCUGUUGGAAACUGAAAAGUGUUACGUAUAGAUGGGCACACGGUUAUGCUAUUGACAUUUACAAAAAUCUCAAAAUUACACCGAUCAGUCAUGUGAAAUACUAUCAUGAAGAGAUAAAAUGAGAAUACGUACAUUUGGAGUAAAUGGUCUGAAAGUGAGUGUGCAGAGGAAGAAACGAGAAACUGCGAGCGAUGUGUGCUCAGUACACUGUGAAAUACGCAGGGGACGUUAGUAUGAUCGAUGAGAGUGUAACGACAUUCAGCAAGAUUUAAGGAAUAGAUAACAGAAAGUAGACAGAAUCUUCUACGCUACUUAAUUUACCAAACGAGAAACGGCGCAGAACAAUUAGCUUGGACGAUUCAUCUUACACAAACAACUUAAUUGCAUGCUCUUUGCCUGAACAUUGGAUCAUUGCAACAUCAGGGACCUCUUCAUGACUGCAACGUCGCCAUCCCCAUCAGGUUCCUUUUAACACACCACAGCGAUCGACAACCGACCGCAGUUGAAGGGUCUAACAUGAUCGAACUAUUGUCGAACUCGACGAUUUCAACGUCUCUUUCUUUUUUUCCAUAGUCCUUUUCUAUAUCCGAAACCUCAAUCGCUUAUUAAACAAGCAAGUAUGGUUGCAGUUCUAUCGUGUUUGGUGUCAUUUUAAUCAAAAAAACAUAACAAACGCGACGGUGAAAGUUUCAUUCACCAAAAGCCAAAAAUAAAGAAGUUUGGUUUUUGGAGUCAAAAAUCUCAAGCUCGUGGCGAGCCUUUAAUUUAGCCGAACGCUUCGACUCUCAGUCUUUCUUUUUCCUUCACUCGCGUUGUCCUUUUCUACGACCACCAUGCUAAAAUCUCCGUUUCUUGGGAUUGAAUCGAUUCUACCUCUUCAUAAUUGCAACCUUCCAGUCCUGUUGAGUGUGCAAUUAUCCAAUGUCUACUGUAUUCCAACAUUGCAUCGCCUAAGCGCGUGUUGCCCACAAAAUAUAUAAAAUGAGUAAUACAUUAAUGGAUUAAACGCUAGAUAGUUUGAGUGUUAACACUAAAACUACUACACAGGUUGAAAUGAUACAUUCCUGAUUUCUUAUUUCUGCAAUAAAAAAAUAACAGACGAUUCUUUGAUAAACAACUAAAGAAAUAGCAACACGCAAACUGGAUUGUAAAUCAAUAAAAAUCCCAAUAGAUGCACUCUUCGAGUUUCUGUAGAAUAACUUCAGAAUGUCAAUUUGACUACACUGACUAGGUUUAAUAUCAAUGAAAUCGAGUCAUCAUAAUUACCCACAGGGCUAUCGCGCUCGGAAUUAUGUACUUUAAGCUUUUAAAAAUUCGAACGUGGACACUUACACAGGCAUUGGCUCCUCUUUCCUAGGCAUGUUCGCGAUGGACGUCAUAUUCUUUGGCCUUGCAAUGCUAAUCUGGAACCGAGCUUUCAAAGCCGGCUCGUCGAAGCAAGGAAAAGCACGUCGUGCGUCCGUCGCCUGAAAUUGAGUAGUAGCGAUCCAUCUGUAAUACAAAACCGAGGGGAACUUAGCAAACAGACACUGGUGAAGCCCUAUUUGUACUUCCAGGAUGGACUCGGUUUAAACUCAUCCCUUGCUGCUGUUAUCAUAGACGAGAAUCACGAGACAUUCGUUCAUUCAACACAGAUGCACGGGGAGAUAAUGUCGGAUACAGUAAGACCUCGCUUAACACUACUCCGUUUAGCCCUUGCAUUGACAACCGAAAUGUCUGUAUUUAUUCAAGUUUUAAAAUUAUAUUUUUACAUAAAUUCCUUAUUUUCGAAGCAUUUUGUCGAAUUUUUACGAGGACAAAACGAAAUUAUAUAAAGGAUACUUAAAAAAUGGGUACUCGAUUAUGAAUUGCCCGGUUUUCUCGAAUUUUACAUUUUUCAUUAAUCCACUUUAAUGUGGUUUUUCAAAUAAUGGAAUACUUUUCAUCCGCUGUUUCAUAUAUUAACAAAAUAUCAUCAUUAUGAAGACUAAGUAACCCAAAAAAGUUAUUAGUAGUAAACUAACAUAUCGCAUUUAACGAAACGUGAUAAUUAUGAAUACUGAGUAACCAAAACAUGUAUACUAGUAGCAAAAUAAUACAUUGAUAUGAAUAAAAUAUCAUCGUUAUGAAGGCUAAGUAAUCAAAACAAACUAUUGUAAUAAGUGGUAGCAAACGUGAUAAUAUCUAUAAAUCAAGCUCUCGAAGAAUUAUGCAAUAGUAGAAAUGCAUAAAAUAAAAUUCCUGGGGGUAUUUACCUUUUCUGACCGUCAACAGUGUAAGAACUCCUGUAGAAGCCCUGCAGGUAAUCGUUCAAAUAACCGACAAACUUGAAAUGCACGAGGUACUGCUUUCCCGCUUUCAACGUGUCUGAAGUUUUAAUCACGUGAAACUGCCGUUCAGUGUCGUUUCUCUGCUCGACUAUUCGGAUCGCUUUGGUCGAGUUGCUCGUGAGCAAAUGCUCUCUGAUAUUUGUGAAACUUUCAUCGAUAUCCAUACUGACUGCGUGCAGCGUAACAUUUUUCGUGUCCUCGGUCACGUUCACGAGAAUCUUCACCUGAAAAUAGAUGCGUAUUUUUCUGAAUCAGUUCGAAUCGAAGGAAAGAAUUCGAGAGAGUACUUUAAUUAUCGCAAUUUUAAUGAUUUCGUUGGGUAUUAUAUACCUAUUAAACAGUUUUUUGUUUUAUUUGAACAAAACUGUCAGAUUGAGCUGCCUAUACUACCAAACAAAAAGUUUGGAUUACUUAUUCAAUUGAUAGAAAACUUGAGUUAUUUAUUGGAAGAAUUAUUAAACAUACUAAGUUACAUAUAUCAAACAUAUUUUCAAUUAACACUUGCAAUUAUAGAAAAAUGAUACAUUUAAGUACAAUUACUUUUAUAUAAUAAACUCCUUAUGAAAAAAACUAUAAUAGUUUGAACGAUAUAAUUAUUAUUUCUUUCAUUAUUCUUAUUAUUACAAUUGUGAUUAAUUACUUAGAUAAGACAGAAGAAAACCAUUACCAUAAACUUAUAUAUAGAUAUCACAAUUAAACUCUUCUGAAAUUAACUAAUAAUAAUAAUUAGAUACUGAUAAUUAUCGUAAUAUUAGGAAUUAUUAUUAUUACAAUAAUUAUUAAAACGUAGUCGUAUAUAUUAGUUUCGUUUAUUAUAGACUUCCAAUUUAAAAGUAGGAACAAUGUUUCUCUAUCACGAAAUCCGAAACAAAAUCCGUCGAUACACUUUUCGCACUAGUUUUUAACCCGCUUCUCUUUCCGUUUACUUUUUUCUUGUUCUACAUAAAAACAAGGAACGGAACAUCGCGCCGUUUAAAACUUUCUAACUACAAUCGCUUACUGGACAAGUUCGUGUACUUUCACCUUUUCAGAGGGAUCGACACUGGUCGUCAUAUUUUUUACUAUAUUUUUUUUCACAGAACUUUCAAUAAAAUUGUAAAAAGUAUCUCCUCAUCAGACAGGAUCGUAUAUUUUCAACACUAGAUUUACGAGCAUUUACUGUGCAAUUUGCUCUAUCGUUCUUAGAAAACCUGAUACUCAUUCAUUUAGAUCUUUGAAAUUAAAGGUUUAACCGGUUAAUUGUGGAAGUUAGUUUGAAAAAUCUCUCGUUGUGCUCGCAAUAAAACCAAAUAAUGAAGUGUAUACUGGCCAAACGCAGAACAAGUGCAUCUAUAAUAUAUUCUAACGAAAAACUAAAGCAAAACGAAGAAGAAUUACACCUUUAUCUAAAAAAGUAAAUAAUUCAUCGUUGAGAAAAUUAGUACCAUUCUGCAUUUUAAGAUGACGUGUAUCUCUGACAUGUUAAUUGGUUAAAAGCAAACAAUUUGGGGUAUAUAUUUGCGUAGCUGCAUCGAUCAAAAUUGACCCAAACAUUUAUCCAAUAAUAUUUAUAAAGUUCAAGUAAAUCUAAUGUUAAGCAAGUUUCUGUUUCAAGCAUUUACCAAGUAGCGAAACAC